Molecule: ribosomal RNA, 441 nt
Filed under: Johora tiomanensis
Lineage: Eukaryota; Metazoa; Arthropoda; Malacostraca; Decapoda; Potamidae
Description: partial 12S small subunit ribosomal RNA
Source: RNAcentral
AGAGGUGAAAUUAUAGAAUAUUUUAUAAAUAUAAGAAUAUUAAGGAAGCUAAUAAAUUUUAAACAUAAACUAGGAUUAGAUACCCUAUUAUAUUAAAGUUUAAUAAAAAUAUCAGAUGAUUAAAAGAUAUGUUCUUUAAAUUUAAAGAAUUUGGCGGUAAUUUAGUCUUAUCAGAGGAACCUGUUUUUUAAUCGAUACGCCACGUAUAAUCUUGCUUAGUUUGUAUACCAUCAUUAUUAGAUAAUAUUAAAAGAUAUAAUUAUUGGGAUUAAAUUAUUAAAAAAAUUAGAUCAAGGUGCAGUUUAUAAAUAAGUUAAAAUGGGUUACAAUAAAUUUUAUUUUAAUGGAAUAGUUUCUAGGAAAGUGGAUUUGAUUGUAUGUAAGUUUAAUAAGCUUACAAGGAAGAGGCUCUAAAUUAUGUACAUAUUGCCCGUCGCUUUC